UCAGCUGUUUGUGCAUUUACUUUCAAAGACUACUGAGGUGUGCUUUUUGUUUUACCUUAUCAGUGCCAAAUUCCCCUUUGCUGCCAUUAUUACUAUCAGUUUUUUGAGCUUAAUUUUUCUUAUUUUAUAUUCUUAUUUUUUAUUCCUUUUAUUUAUUUAUUUUGUUCACUUAGUUGUGAAUGUGUUCAAAAUCAUCUUAGAAUGUCUGUUGUUUAUACAUAUGUAAUAUGUGGCUUACUGUUUUCCUAGGAGCUAAUAUCAUCAAAGGUUGCUUCAAGGCAUGUUUGCAGAAGUGGAGGUAACUUCAACUGAAGUGCUGUAAUCUUUCAAAAAUAUUGAUGGAGAGUUAUUUGAAUGUUGUUUGAGCUCUUGUCAGCAACACAUAUCCUUAUGAAGCAGGUCACGCUCGUUGUGGUGACAGAUUACCGGGAAGUUACAACUAAUUUCGAUCUGUGAUCACACUUCUAUUCCACAUUUACCAGGGUAUGCUAAGGAGCGCAGAGGAGCACACAGAACAACUUCAGAAUAUUUGCUAAAGCAACACGCACUUCUUGUUUGGUCAAAAGUAGGCUAAAUUAGCUUACGCUCAUUGCUACAGUAGAUAUCCUUAUUUCUGAUAUUUUCAGUUUUAAGUAAAGCCUUUACAGCACCUUUCCUGUCAAAAUAGCCACCAUCUCCUCAUUGCCCUCUUAUACAACGUAGGUUAGAUUACUUGCUCCCAUGCAUGCAGUACAUACAGAACUGCACUAUGAAGUUUCCUGUAAGAAGCCAAAUUCCCUCUAUAUCUCUGGAGAGCUCUGGAUGUCAUGGCGGUACUAAACAGCCAAGAACAACUACUUGCUUCCUCUUCCUUUGGCAAAGUCAGGUGGUGAGUUGAAGACUCAAAAUGGAAGGACUGGUGUAACAUUACUUCAGGUGAGUUCAAGUUUACAGUAUUUGAGUAAGAUCUUAUUAGCUAGAUAGUUAAAACCAUUUUUUACUCUGUAUGUCUUCCAUUCAAGUUGCUAAUAAGAGGGUUCUGCUAGAGGAGAGAAAUUCUUCACUCUGCUUUCAAACCACCCUUUUCAAGUGAAUGGAGUGCAUUCUCAUGGACAUUGAGACCGCCUGUCAAACACAACCAGUGGCAGGUGAAUCACCACAAAGAAUUAGAUUUUAGGAGCUCACUUGUAUCUAUAGUGUGCUCUCCUGGGCACUUGUAGUUGAGGCCUUGCUUCUGAUUCUUCCAGAAUAUACAAAUAAUUUGAAGUAAUACAGCCUGAAACUAAUAAGGCAGAACUUUCCCUUUUAUCUGGAACCUUUUCAGAAGAUGUGAGAGGUGCAGAUUUGAAGUGUCUUAUGCUUGUAAUCGUGAGAUCAAGAAUCCCAGACUGAUACUAGACUAACAGUAGAAUACAAUCAUCAUAGGUAAUGAAUACUAGGAAAUAAAAAGUAGGUAUGUCAUAAAUAAUUUUAUAUGCUUGCAAAAGAUAUUUACUUAUACAAAAGAGGGACUUAAAUUUUAUCAUUUCAAGCCAGCUCACUGUCUUUUAAAGAACAUGGAAACAUGACUAAUACUUUUAUUUGUUUAAUACAAUACUUUAAUGGUUUAGUAGUGAUGAAAAUUAAGUCAUACUGCUAUUAACAGUGCAGCUAUUAUAAAUGAAGUAGCUAUGCAAGUUUAAGAAAAUUGAUUUUUUUAUGGCUUAUAAAUGUUAGCAUGGUUAAAAAACAUGGAGAAAAUAAAUGAGAAGUUGACUAAAAGAUAUAACAAGUAUGAUCAAGGCAGUGUUCUUUCUCAAGCUUUCCUCAGAAUUGUGUUUCUGAACAAUUACCUUUCUCACUUCUGAGUAAAUGCAAAUGAGGUGAUCAAUUCUUUCAUUUUUGCAAUGAAGAAUUUUCCUUCUGAUAUCUCCAGAAUUAAGCCUUCAACUUGCUAUAAUAAUCAUACUGUGACUUCUCAGAGAUGGUGAUAGCAAAAGAACACAUCUGUUAACUGGUCUUAAUUGAUCUAUCUGAUCUUAGUUUAAUGGCAUCACGAGCAAUUAGUAUUCUGUCUUCUGCUUAAUGAUAAAGAAUAAUGACUAAUAUUCCUGAAGUAACAAGAUGGAAAGCUAAUGAACUAAACCACUGCAGGAUAAACAUUUCAGUUGGCAGUGAUGCUGCUGGCAUAGUGUGCGUACUCCAACAUCCUUAUGAAUCCAGCAGAUAUACAACUCCUAACUCAAGACAUAUAUGUAUAUAUACACAUUAGUCUUAACAAUUAAGACAGAUUGCUCAGUUUUAUUGUCCAUUUUUACUCUUCUCUGAGAUACUUCUGGCUCAGACUUGAAAGAAUAGUUCUGGUUAGUCUCCCUUCCGUUAUCUUUAAUAUUCUAAAACAACAGAGUAAAAAGCAAUUGCUCGUUUUGCUAAUAAUAGCAUUAAGCUAAAGAAAAUGGUUUCAGUAAAGUAAGGCUGCUUUUCUUUGGCACAACAAUGGAAAUGUCUGUCCAGAAACUGCCAGACUUAAAAUGCUAUGUUGUGAUUCAUUCAGGGUACUGAAUAAUGGAUGUUUAAUGCACCUAAGGGAUUGACACACAGUUCUACGUGAUACAGCAGACACCCCUUAAAAAGUGCACUACACAGUCAAAUGGUUUUGACUGGAAGGCUUCUUCUGGAACCUGUACGCUGUGAAUCAUCUUUUAGUUUCUGCACUGCAAGAAAUCACAGAUGUUAGCAACUGGUGUCUAUGGUUACUUGAGAGAGAAACAGUAUGGCUUUAUGUAAUGUAAAAUACGUUGAGACUUGAUGUGAAGAUGCCUUCAAGGAACUUUGAAGAUCAGUUUCUCUGGUCCCAUGAAGAACAAUUAAAUGAACUUCCUUACCUAUAAAGGCGCAAGAAAGCUCAUAGGUAUCUGGCUUUUUUCCUGGAAAAAUUAGACCUAUCAGUAAUGCUAUGGUUCUUGCUCACUACCGGCACUAUUAUUUUAACAGAGUUUAUUGUGCAAGCUAAAGACAACCAGAGAGCAUUUGGACUGCUUAAUCUUGGGUGCAUUUAGAGAGAAUUAAAGUAACUAAAAUUCUUUAAGGUGUUUUAUCCACAGCCAUUUUUCUACUUAAUCUGCAUUCCUUGCUUGCUGAAAUUCCAUCUGUGUUGCCCAUCCUGUGAGGGAUCUGAACAAUGACUGACAUCACGCAUUCCCUCACUUUAGUGGGAGCAUAAUACAAAUGCAUGGCAUUUAAGUAUAUAUAAUGUACUUUCUUUUUGUGCUUUUGAUAAGUCAGUUUAUACAAAUUAAAAAUAUUUCCUUUAAGGAUUUUUGUACUAGCCUAGACAAGCAAAUCAGGAGGUGAAAACAGCAAAGGAAAAAGUGUAUUCUGUUUUCUGUUACAUUACUAUAGGCUGUUAUAAAUAACAUGUAAAGUUUUGGGCAAGCAGCCAUCUGCUGCAGUAAUAGUAAGCUAUUGGAUUAGAUUGUACAUUCCUGAUUUGCUCCAUUAUUUUAAUGGAUUUAAUCUAUUUGGAAUGUUACUUAUUCAGGAGAAUGUAGCAAACAUAAUGUCCCUUGAAUUCUGGCAGACUUCCUAAGAAAUGACCACUCUGAGUAUGGGUUCUGCCUAAUUCUAAUCACAUUGACAUCGAGAUAGUUGACAGUCUUCAGAAAUAUCUAAGGGGAUAAUCUAGAAAUGGAAGAAUCUGCUGAUCCUCAAAUUGUAUGAAGGACAGAAUAAGGCAAAAUGUUUCCAGAGCGGAAGUUUAAUUUGAUCUUGAUUAAACAAAGGCCUUAUGUAAUACCAGAUACCAAAAUAAGGCCCAAUACUAAAACCUCAGGCAUUCAGCUGCUAGGAAAAUCCAUGUCUGUACCUUCACAGACCAAUUUAUACUGAGAAUUUACCCUCUCAAGCUUGUAUUUAAUAGUCCAUUGCACCUGGCUCUAUUCUCUUGUUUUCAUUUUCAAUCUGUCUUACCCAAAGAUAACUUCUGAUCUGGCACUCAAACAAUUAUGAUUAUUUUUCUAUUUAUCCUUAGUCCUUCUGUUUUCCAAUUCAGUGCAUUUCUGCAAAUUUUUCAUAAUAUUAUUCCCUCCCUUUUUCCUAGAUGACUUGAUGAUCUUACUGUUGUUUUUCUGAACUUGUUACUUUUCCAAGUGAACGUGCUGUCUUAAUAAUCUCCCUCAUCUACUCACUAGUAUUUGUGCUAGUACAAACCUUUAGGCUAAAAAUAUGCACGUGAAUGGCAUACUUUCACUCUGCAGACAACCACAGAUCGAAUUGUAUAGUACAAUUGCACACCAAAUCAAGACAAAGCUUACUUGCUAUGUCAGCUCAAGCCACUUGAAUUCUUAAAUAGCUACCAGAGAUUUGGAAUUGAGAGAGAAAAGUACAUAUUUUAAAAGUGAUGAUUGAGAUUGCUGUGGGGGAAUACUGUGACCUUACGUCACAGUGCAUGCUACAUGCAAUGCAAAUUAGAAGCAGAGCAUGAGAGAAAUACCUAUUAGUUGAUUUUAAAAUUCCUUAAUGAUCCUGGGUAACUAAUCUCACUAUCAGUUACAUACCUGAUUCCUCAUCUACAGCAGUUUCAAGAUACUCAUGUGGUUCCUAGUUUAAAGAGAUUUCAGCUUGGCUGCUAUUGUUCUUUUCUACUAACUGAAGAGACCAGCUUUUUGUUCUCUGUAGAGACAGCUGUAGAUUGUAAUCAAGCCAUUUAAAUUAAAUUUUGUAAACAAAGUGAAUGAAUUGCCUUGGAUGUGUGAUCAGCCUGUAUGUCCUUCAGUAUAUUUCUGUGAUGUACAUUCUGGAAACAGGCUUGAGUCUCCAACUUAACAAAACUAACAGCGCCAGUGUACAACCAAGUCUGGAACAAUAAAUUAUGUUGGCAGGAAAGCACAUUAGCUUGGACAUAGUUCUGCCCUGAUAUGAUCAUAUAAUACAUGCUCAGUUCAUAAAUCAGUAGAAGUAGAUUGCAGCAAGCCAGAAUACAUGGCAUAAACAUAUUCUUAGUUACUCUUAUAGCUCUAUAGAAACACAACCAAAUUUUAAAUGCUCCCGUAGUUAUAGACAACAUAUCAGGACACAGUAUUCAAGGAAUGCUUGUGCCAGCAACAAAUACACAUGUCAUUUCUGUAUAUUCAUUCAGUAUUCUGUCACAUAAGAUCUUUUGGCUGCAGAGUUAAAGCUUGUGUUUAACAAUUCACCAUGAAUCCCAACUACUUUUAAGAAUUACAGCUUUUCAGAAAGGAUUUCCUUCAUCCUUUUCCUGUAUUCUGUGUCACUAGCUCAUAGAGAUAUGAAUUUAUACUUGGAUACAUCCAAAAAGUCCAAAGUCUGAAAGGGAAGACCUUCUACUGGUAUUGGAUCUGACUAAUAAAAACAUACACCUGUAAGGUAGAGAGAUUGUAGUGUGCAUAUAUGAAAGGAAUGUAAAUCCAUUGAAUUUUUUUCGUGAUUACAGAUUUAAAAAAAAAAAUGUCAGCAGGAAAUUCUAAACAUAAAUCCAUUGACUAGUGUUCAUGACAAAUCAAUCUUAAUAAGAUAGAGGAAUACCAGAUAACUGGAAAAAACGAUUAUGUCCAUAUUUCAAAUGGUUAAAUUGAAUCUUUGGAUUAAGUCAGAUUUCUGAAGAAAAAUAAUGAAGAAGCUGGCAAGAAAUGAAAUAUAUAUAUAAGUGAUCUAGGCAUUCAUUUACAGAAAAGGUAGUUUGUCAGAAGUAUUUGAUUGUUCAAAUGGGACUGCAAAUUGGCAGAUAGCAGUAAAAAUUUGGACUGAUAUUUUAAGACUUUCUAUGAGGUAUUUUGAUUUGGAAAUCAGAAUAACACAUAAUCAAUACAGUUCUCAUUAAACAGAGUUAUUUCUAAAAAUAAGGGAAUCAAUUGCCAGUUGUUUUUUGAGAGUAAUACCACGAGAACUAGUCCUUGAUAUUUUUAAUCAAUUAAGAUUUAUUUGAAACAUGUUUUAACUAAAUAAUGUUGGGGAGUUCUUGUUACUCAGAUGGCAAACCUGCAUAACUAAAAUCUGACGAAGAGUACAAGUGGGGAUAUGGGAAGACUUAUCAUUAGUCUAGAAAUGUAUCUGAAAACUCUUCUGUUCUGUUCCUUCAUACUGAAAAGACCUAAAUUUGGUAGAUUUGACAGUUUUUGCACAAACAUUUCACAAGCACCCAGCAGCUACUUGUGCUGACAAAAAAAAGCCUCAGUCUGGACAGUGCUGAGAAGCUCAGCAGCUUUCUCUUCUGUACUCAUUCUAUAUGCAAGAAUCUUACAAACAGAUUAUUUGCAGCUUUCAUGGUGUGACAAAUACACAGAAAUAAGGUUUAUAACCAUCCUUUCCUUUUGAAAUCUCAAAUCUCUACAGAAAGGUAGUUUAGCAAGAAGAGUUGCUACUCUUCCCUUUUCAGAGCACCAGCGACACGCUUUUGAGAUGUUCUCUGUUGGACACAUGGGUCUCAUCUCAUCCUUAGACAUGUAAGUAAUUUAAUUUGGAUCUGCUGCAUCUUAAGUCCAUAGUAGUCUAUGUAAGUGGACUGAUACUAGCUGUAUUUGAUACUUUUCAGUUGUUAUUUCAAAAGAAGGGAAGUAUUUCUGCUCAGUAUGAACUGAAAACCUCAGGUGAUAAGAAAAAUGUCAAAUUUCUGCCUUUGAACUUUCCUGCAGCUCCAGUCAAAGCAACAGGUGUGGAAACAGCGAGACUCAAUAUUAAGCCUUGUUUGUAAAUAGCUGUUCCCUCAGCACGUGUGCUUUUCUGAACUCUAUUUUGAAGUCCCACUACUACCCACACAGAGUUGUGCACUCACUGUAUUUGGAGCACUGCGUUCUCCUGUAGGCCUUGCGUGCAUAAUUCACAUUCUACCAAUAAUCAUAAUGCAGUAGCUGUCAAGCAGGAUCAAAAAUGGGGUUACCAGAAGUCAAUUAGCUUUUAUGAUUAAAAUCCAGUUAAAAAUUUGUUUCUCCCUAUCCUACUCUCUCCUUCCUUCCAACAAAGUCUCUUCUCCUGCCACUCAUGAGCAGACUCUUAGUGUAGCUGCACUUGACUUUUGUAACACAAACAUUUUUUUUAGACUACUGAGGCAGAGCUUAAUUGUUAUGUAAUGCUUUGUGUUGGGAGGAAAUGGAGGAUGUGUCUGGAAAUGCAAUUAACAAGCAAAGUGCAUUUCUGUAAUUGUCAGGAGCAUGGGAAUAAUGGAACACGUUGCGUAUGUUACUGAACAAAAAGCAAGCCAUAAAAUACAUCAAAAAUGAAUCAUACAGUUAUCUGACUUACUAGAAAAUAAAGACCGUAUAGGAAUACUGGGAAUGAUGAAGGAAGGAUUGAAAUGCUUUAAUUAUAGACUUGUUUGUCGAGGUCACAAAUUAUGAUUUCUCAGUUACAGAAAUUUAAAUAUACCUUUAAAAUCAUUUUAGCUGUAUGAAUUUAAUAGAGAAUCAUAUAUUCCAGUUUUGCUUGAAUAAGGAUAUACAGGAUUUCUAGAGAUAAAUCUGAGUAUAAAAAUUUAAGCCAUAUUCUUUAUGUCAUAAAAAUACUCUCUCAAAGUAAAAUAGCUUGCUAAGAAAAUAAAAGCUGAAUCAGAUGUUAGAUUCAAAACAAAUUGAUGGAGUGGAAAUGUCACCCUUAAACACAGGAUUUUUUUUAUAUUUUUGGUAGAGAGUGUUUUUUUGUCUGCUUUGUGAAAACUAAGUAAAAAGAAACCAUGCACUUGUGCAUAAAUAACCAUAGUUUAAGUCAUUAACAUUUCUGUUCUUCCAAUUUGAAUACAUUUAGAAAUAAAAUCCAAGUGACUCCUUGACAGCAGCUUGGACCAUUUUCCUCCACCUGACAGUCUAAACACCUCUCUUCAUCGUCUUUCUGCACAAAUGAGGUAUGGCUGUGGUUGCAAUGUCAUGCCUAAUCUUGGUUUGAGAUCUGGAAUCGCACCAUGAGGAAAACACAGGUGAAAUCGUUGCAGUAACGAAGUGAAAAACAGAAACAGUUCCAUUCGAGCUAGCUGUUCUCCAAGACAAUGUCUUCUUCCUGGAUUAGAAAAAAAGUUUUUGAAAAGACUUGUAAAAUUAUUUACAUUACAUUUUCACUUUAGUGAGCAAGAAAUUGUGGUUUCAUAAAACAGAUGGAUUACAAACUCUAGAAGUUUUAAAAUCAAAUGAGUACAGAGGAACAAGACAAGCAAUAAAGAUAGAAUUCAUCACAUCUACCUUAGGCCAUUUAGAAGUUGUGCAUCUAGUCCAAGAAAACUGUGUUACGACUCCCUGAAUAUUUUCUUGGAACAUAAUGUAGUGCCAUAAGCUGACCUCCUUGGGAAAAAUACCUGCAAUUUCUGGUGCUGAACAGAGUGCUGAAAUUUGAAAACUAGCUCUGCAUAUCACCUGCUUGCAACAAGUUUAGCAGCAAAUGACUAUGCACGUUAAUUCUGAAACAAAUAGCACUUGGUUUGUAUAAUUUGUAUAGUAGUUGUCAGUUUGUAUAAGUUGUAUAAUAGUUUAUUUUUAUAUAGCAUUAUCCUAAAAUGUGCUAUGCCCAGAAAAGAACAUAUCUUUAAAAUAGCUGUUUCAUCAGAACCAUGGAUUUAAAUCAUGCUGUUCAUUUCUGAUUUAUUGUCAUCACUUUUGUGUUGUAUGUUCCUAGAUUUAUGCGAAGGAACAGUGGAAGGAAUCGUUUUUACCUAAUGAAAAAGGAAUAAAUGCAUCUUUCUUGACAAACUGUCCACUGCUGUCCAAAAAUCUCUCAGGAAAAAACACUUCUGGGUUGUUCCAGUAUUUUUCAUCAAAAUGUACAGAGUAGAGGUUUGUAAUAACUGUAGUGCCUUCAGGAAUAGAGUAACCACGUACAACAGUAUCUUUGGAGGUUGCGUGAAAAAUACCUAGUGGAACUAUGUUACAGAAUCUUAGGACUUCGUGGAGAACAGCCUCAGUGUAUGGCAUUUUACAUUUCUCUUCCCAAGCAGGCAUUUUGUUUGGGCCGAUGACUAAAUCGAUCUCUUUUUGAACAUGUCCUGUUAGGAAAAGGAAUAAGUGAAAAAUCCUUUAUAUUUUAUAGCUUGAAAAUAUACUUGUAAAAGAUAUUGAAACAUGACAUAUCAUACCAAAAAUAUAGUAGCUUAUACGUUUUUAAGGUUAGACCUUCGUCUUCCUCUUGCUAGUAGGAAUUCUUGUAAGCAUAUAUAACAGUAAUCUUUGUUUCAAGAUUAACUAUUAACAGUAAAAUCAUACUUUAAUAUAUUCUUUUGUUCUCAAGUUUACUUCUGUUUCAUCAAAGUGAAGGGAACAAGCAUGAGACUGCAAAGAUAAUGCACUUUAAAUACCUGAGUGGACACAGGUAACACUGAUAUUAUCUACUUGCAAUGGUGCUUGUCUAAUACUGCUGAGUCUUUGAAAUUGACUAAGUGUCAAAUCAUUCACUCUUAAACUGAAAAUAAUUCUCACUGUAAUGUAUCAGAUAAAAAGAACUGCAGUAGCAAGAUGCUGAAUGUAACUGAAAAGAAAAAAAUUCAAUCCUCAUUUUUUUAGCUAUUUUUAAAAUUAGGUUCAUAGGAAUAAGAUCACUCUUCAGAAAAAUCUCAAAGGCAUUUGGACCUCCUCUUUUUUUUUUUUUUUCCUCAUAAGCUUUCUUUGUUGAAACACAACCCCCUAAUUAAUUAAAACAAAUUUGCAUUUUUACAUUUCAUGUACAAAUAAUGAAAAUCUGAAUAGCAACAGGAAAAUUCUACCAAGAAUCACCAGGUUCUUCAAUCUGAUGUGACAGUAUUUCGUAUCAAUAUAAAGAGAUGGGAAACGGCUUAGUGAAAGCACAUCCUGUAAUGUAGUGAUUUAUUGGCAUGUAUUGUCAAAAAAAAAAAAGUAACAUCAAUUUUUAUUUUUAUCUAGAUGAACUGAUAUUGAAUUCUGAUCCAGGAAUGUAUUGUACUGUACAGUAUCUAAGAUCAGAAGAUUAUUUUAGAAAUAUAAAUAACUAUAAUCUAUUUUGAAUUGAGGUGCUUAAGGAAAAUCGAAAUUGCAAGUAAGAUACCCCAAAUACUUUUGCUGAUGUUUUUACAUUUUGUUAUCAUUUCUUCCUUAAUUGCAUGUAUUUAUUUUAACAUAUAGAUUUAGUGCAUCUACGAACCAAUAUUAAGCAAUGCAAUGCAGAAUGUAAAUAUAUUAGAUGAAAAAAAUCAAAUCUCCAUAAUAAGCUGUAAAACAAUUUAAUAACAUGCUAGAAUGUUAUUAUCAUACUUCAUUUUAUAAUUUGCAAUGGGAAGGUGUAUCAGUUCCUCAAAAUGUCAAAGUUCUUACCUUGAAUGUUUGGAUAAAGAGCCAUAAAUAACACCGCCCAUCUCAAAACAUUUGUUGUGGUUUCUGUCCCAGCUAUGAUGAGUUCUCCAACAGAGAAAAUUAAGUUUUCUCUUGAAUAUGUAGAUUCUGGAUCACUUCUGUUGCAAUCCAUCUCAUCUAAAUAUGCAUCUAUAAAAUGCCGAGGUGACUGAGGUUUCCUAUUUUCAGAGACUCGUUCUAUAAGCUUAUGAAGAAAGUCAUAGACUUCUGCUGCAUUUUUAAACAGCUGCUGGUGUUUCCCAAAUGGCAAGAUGCCGAUCCAAGGAAAAGCAUUAUACAAAAAUACAGAGGCACUAGCAGCUAAUUCAACAUUUUCACUGAAAAUCUCGAUCAUGUGCUGAAAUUCAGUAUCUUCAUACGUAAAACGUUCUCCAAAAAUAAUCAAAUUAGUAAUGUUUGAAACGGCAUUUGUUAUCAAGUGCUUCAGAUCAAAUGGUCUGCCUUUGUAGGUAUCAAUGGCAUCAAGGAAAAACACAGAUUCUUCUGAAAUUUUGUGUUCAAAGGACCUUUGACCGUAUCCAAAAGUUCGAAAGGUAUUUACAGCUAGUUUGCGAUGUUCUGUCCAUCCUCUGCCAUAUUUACUGUUCAGUAAGCCU
Centrocercus urophasianus (Greater sage-grouse) is the source of this 10852-nucleotide long non-coding RNA. RefSeq lists it as uncharacterized. The transcript has 3 exons. The record is from RefSeq and is a predicted model, not a curated record. NCBI's taxonomy places the organism in Eukaryota, Metazoa, Chordata, Aves, Galliformes, Phasianidae.